This 65-nucleotide transfer RNA is filed under the name Dipodomys ordii (Ord's kangaroo rat). It matches the Rfam family "tRNA". Rfam says of the family: Transfer RNA (tRNA) molecules are approximately 80 nucleotides in length. Lineage: Eukaryota; Metazoa; Chordata; Mammalia; Rodentia; Heteromyidae. The record is from Rfam by way of RNAcentral.
GGUGGCUCAGUGGUAGAGUGCUUGCUUUGCAUACAUGAGGCCCUAGGUUCGAUUCCUCAGCACCA